AUUGGUCACAAAUUUUUCAAGAUACAGUGCGCCCAUAGCAUAGGCAAGAAAGAUAAGAGGUUGUUUCCCCACUUCUCCUGCAACAAAAACCAAAGUUGACACAAGUUAACUCUCUCAUAAUAAAAUGAAGAUGAUAAAGUCUCAUAAUAUAUUAGUCUGAGAACUACAACCUUGCUAAUAACAGAACCUAGUCAAAGCAAAAGAUUCAUAGAGGCAAUACG
RNAcentral lists this long non-coding RNA (221 nucleotides) under Nicotiana benthamiana. Its description in RNAcentral is "long non-coding RNA (NBEN_LNC026680)". Lineage: Eukaryota; Viridiplantae; Streptophyta; Magnoliopsida; Solanales; Solanaceae. The record is from RNAcentral.